This 349-nucleotide transfer RNA is filed under the name uncultured cyanobacterium. RNAcentral describes it as "partial 16S-23S intergenic spacer". The stretch from base 275 to 347 matches the Rfam family "tRNA". Lineage: Bacteria; Bacillati; Cyanobacteriota. The record is from RNAcentral.
AGGGAGACCUACCUUGGGGCAUCUGAGAGGAGUCAGGCCACCGAAGGUCAUCCCAGGUCGGUCGGGGUUGAGGGGAUGGUUGACUGAGGUUCUGGGGGAGAGCCAAGGGAAGGGCUAUUAGCUCAGGUGGUUAGAGCGCACCCCUGAUAAGGGUGAGGUCCCUGGUUCGAGUCCAGGAUGGCCCACUGUUUGUCCUGGAGAAGGGAGAGCUAGCAAGCUAGAAGCGAGCUGGCCAAGCUGAGGGCAAAGCCAGAGGGUGGGUGCAGUCUGGAUUGGGGGUAUAGCUCAGCUGGUAGAGCGCUGCCUUUGCACGGCAGAAGUCAGCGGUUCGAGUCCGCUUACCUCCACC